RNAcentral lists this ribosomal RNA (402 nucleotides) under uncultured bacterium. Its description in RNAcentral is "bacterial SSU rRNA". It matches the Rfam family "Bacterial small subunit ribosomal RNA", at positions 30 to 437 of the family's 1533-position model. The record is from RNAcentral.
AUUGAACGCUGGCGGCAUGCCUUACACAUGCAAGUCGAACGGCAGCACGGGAGCAAUCCUGGUGGCGAGUGGCGAACGGGUGAGUAAUAUAUCGGAACGUGCCCAGUCGUGGGGAUAACGUAGCGAAAGCUACGCUAAUACCGCAUACGAUCUAUGGAUGAAAGCGGGGGAUCGCAAGACCUCGCGCGAUUGGAGCGGCCGAUAUCAGAUUAGGUAGUUGGUGAGGUAAAGGCUCACCAAGCCGACGAUCUGUAGCUGGUCUGAGAGGACGACCAGCCACACUGGGACUGAGACACGGCCCAGACUCCUACGGGAGCAGCAGUGGGGAAUUUUUGGACAAUGGGCGCAAGCCUGAUCCAGCAAUGCCACGUGCAGGAUGAAGGCCUCGGUUGUAACGUAGUC